CCUACGGGUGGCAUCAGUGGGGAAUCUUCCGCAAUGGACGAAAGUCUGACGGAGCAACGCCGCGUGAGUGAUGAAGGAUUUCGGUCUGUAAAGCUCUGUUGUUUAUGACGAACGUGCAGUGUGUGAACAAUGCAUUGCAAUGACGGUAGUAAACGAGGAAGCCACGGCUAACUACGUGCCAGCAGCCGCGGUAAUACGUAGGUGGCGAGCGUUGUCCGGAAUUAUUGGGCGUAAAGAGCAUGUAGGCGGCUUAAUAAGUCGAGCGUGAAAAUGCGGGGCUCAACCCCGUAUGGCGCUGGAAACUGUUAGGCUUGAGUGCAGGAGAGGAAAGGGGAAUUCCCAGUGUAGCGGUGAAAUGCGUAGAUAUUGGGAGGAACACCAGUGGCGAAGGCGCCUUUCUGGACUGUGUCUGACGCUGAGAUGCGAAAGCCAGGGUAGCG
This 440-nucleotide ribosomal RNA is filed under the name uncultured bacterium. RNAcentral's name for it is "bacterial SSU rRNA". It matches the Rfam family "Bacterial small subunit ribosomal RNA", at positions 338 to 770 of the family's 1533-position model. The record is from RNAcentral.